This 372-nucleotide ribosomal RNA is filed under the name uncultured organism. RNAcentral's name for it is "bacterial SSU rRNA". It matches the Rfam family "Bacterial small subunit ribosomal RNA", at positions 526 to 896 of the family's 1533-position model. The record is from RNAcentral.
CAGAGGGUGCAAACGUUGUUCGGAAUUACUGGGCGUAAAGCGCGUGUAGGCGGCCCUGCAAGUCGGGUGUGAAAUCCCAUGGCUCAACCAUGGAAGUGCACUCGAAACUGCAGGGCUAGAGUCCUGGAGAGGAAGGUGGAAUGCUUGGUGUAGAGGUGAAAUUCGUAGAUAUCAAGCGGAACACCGGUGGCGAAGGCGGCCUUCUGGACAGUGACUGACGCUGAGACGCGAAAGCGUGGGGAGCAAACAGGAUUAGAUACCCUGGUAGUCCACGCCGUAAACGAUGAGUGCUAGGUGUCACGGGCUUUGACCCUCGUGGUGCCGAAGCUAACGCGUUAAGCACUCCGCCUGGGGAGUACGGUCGCAAGACUA